AGGUUUUUGUGUCAGAUGUCACAUUUCGCUCAAGUGCAUCGAAUUGUGCAGUCCCGGAAAAUCGCAGAUUUAUUAAAUUUGUCGUUUAGUCAUCAACGACACGUUUACCAGAAACAUGGAGAACAAUAUGAGUAAAUUGGUUGUAUAUCUGAUGAUUACUGUUUCAUUGAUAUCAACAUUCACUUUGUCCGUGAGUGCGCAAUGUCCAAAAGGAUUCGCAAAAUAUCGUAGAAUAUGUAUCCCGAGGGGUUAAAAGAGAUUACGAGAAAAACGUCUGACAGCAACAUAUCAAUCUGAAUGCUCGUAUAAAGCAAUAAAACAAGAAAAUAAUAAGUGAAAUGUCCAAAUAUAUAAAUGUAUAUGUGCUGCUAUAAAUAAAUGCUGUCAAUUAUUAUA
This is a long non-coding RNA of Odontomachus brunneus, 396 nucleotides long. RefSeq lists it as uncharacterized. The transcript has 2 exons. The record is from RefSeq and is a predicted model, not a curated record. NCBI's taxonomy places the organism in Eukaryota, Metazoa, Arthropoda, Insecta, Hymenoptera, Formicidae.